Molecule: non-coding RNA, 1383 nt
Organism: Triticum urartu
Lineage: Eukaryota; Viridiplantae; Streptophyta; Magnoliopsida; Poales; Poaceae
Source: RefSeq, a predicted model, not a curated record
CGAGUUGACGCUCGAAUGUCGUCCAGUUAUUAGAUAUCGAGGAGUUAGGGCCGGGGAUCGCUGGCGGCGGCACGUUCUCGCCUGUCUCGCUCAAGGACUGCAGAGAUGGAGAGUCUAUGUUGGGCUGCUCCUCCUUGUAUGAUAGGUGGUGCGGUGGUGGUCGCACAGCUGAGAUAUCCAUGGAGGAAGGGGCAAGAUCUCCAUUGGGUGGACGCUUGAGCAUGUAUUGGAGGGAGAUGGGACUCCACCGUUCAUCCAUUCUACAACAGAUGGAUAUUUAUUUAUGAGUAUGACCCAUGUACAGCUCAGUUACAAAAGAUGAAGAUGAAGGGAUGCGUAUGGAGGAGAAAGUAAAUCACAGUAUCACAUUCACGGCAGGAAAACAGAAUGCAGGACCGUGAAAGCUUAUGUGGCAAUGAUGCUGAUGCAGGACCAUGAAAGCUGAUGUGGCAUGAUGGCGAUGUGGAUAGUGUGCAUGUUGAGAUAAUUGUUAGUAGUGGGGAUCAACUUCUUAAGAAUGUAGGAUGAUGGAAUCGGGAAACUACUUGUGCAUUAAAUGAAGUGCUAAUCAUUUUUAGUUAGAUGGCUUAUUGUGUUCUUUGUCUACCUAUUGUUGAUUAUACUUACAGGGCCUAGAUCAAUAUAAAGCUGUGGGAUGCAUUGCAGAAGGAUUUGAAUGCUAGAAAUAAGAGGGUGAGAUGGAUAGAUAGAAAACCUUAUGCUUACUGGAAAGGGAAUCCAGAGAUCGCAACUAUAAGGCAAGAGCUUCUCAAGUGUAAAGAUUCUAGUAAACAAGAAUGAAAUACACUGAUCUACAAACAGGAUUGGAUCAAAGAGAGCAAGGCAGGAUACAAGAAAUCAUAUUUGGGCAGUCUAUGCACCCAUAGGUACAAGAUCUACAUUGAAGGAUCAGCAUGGCCAGUUAGUGAGAAGUAUAUAUCAUAGCUUGUGAUUAAACCAAAAUACUACGAUUUCUUUUCAAGGGUGUUGAUGCCCACUCAGCAUUAUUGGCCAGUUUGAGAUGACAUGUGCUAUGUGCAUCUAGCUGGUGGCCACCAGCUAAAAUGGUGAGAGCAGCCAUGAAGGACUUGCCAGUCGAACUAAAGUGAGAGCGGGCAUGAAGAAAGCUCGAUUUGUGGUUGAAGGCUGCAAAAAAUUAUUCCAGGAUUCAAAUAUGAUUAGUACUGUGUUUUCAUGGUCAUUCAAGUUGGGUGUUGAGUGGAUACUAUGGUAAGCUUAAUUAAAUAACUAUGAGUACUAUGUAAAUUGUAGUUCAACAAAUACGUAUUCACUACUAUGUAAAUUGUAGUUCAACGGAUAAUCCAUCUGUAAAUGCGUCAAAACUUCCCUUCGAAAUUCGUAUCCUCAAGUUUCAAAGCAUUU